AAUACGACUCACUAUAGGGCGAAUUGGGCCCGACGUCGCAUGCUCCCGGCCGCCAUGGCGGCCGCGGGAAUUCGAUUAGAGUUUGAUCAUGGCUCAGAUUGAACGCUGGCGGCAGGCUUAACACAUGCAAGUCGAGCGGAAACGAUACCAGCUUGCUGGUAGGCGUCGAGCGGCGGACGGGUGAGUAACACUUAGGAAUCUACCUAGUAGUGGGGGAUAGCUCGGGGAAACUCGAAUUAAUACCGCAUACGUCCUACGGGAGAAAGGGGGCAACUUGUUGCUCUCGCUAUUAGAUGAGCCUAAGUCGGAUUAGCUAGUUGGUGGGGUAAAGGCCUACCAAGGCGACGAUCUGUAGCUGGUCUGAGAGGAUGAUCAGCCACACCGGGACUGAGACACGGCCCGGACUCCUACGGGAGGCAGCAGUGGGGAAUAUUGGACAAUGGGGGCAACCCUGAUCCAGCCAUGCCGCGUGUGUGAAGAAGGCCUUUUGGUUGUAAAGCACUUUAAGCAGUGAAGAAGACCUAACGGUUAAUACCCGUUAGCGAUGACAUUAGCUGCAGAAUAAGCACCGGCUAACUCUGUGCCAGCAGCCGCGGUAAUACAGAGGGUGCAAGCGUUAAUCGGAAUUACUGGGCGUAAAGCGAGCGUAGGUGGCUUGAUAAGUCAGAUGUGAAAUCCCCGGGCUUAACCUGGGAACUGCAUCUGAUACUGUUAGGCUAGAAUAGGUGAGAGGAAGGUAGAAUUCCAGGUGUAGCGGUGAAAUGCGUAGAGAUCUGGAGGAAUACCGAUGGCGAAGGCAGCCUUCUGGCAUCAUAUUGACACUGAGGUUCGAAAGCGUGGGUAGCAAACAGGAUUAGAUACCCUGGUAGUCCACGCCGUAAACGAUGUCUACUAGUCGUUGGGUCCCUUGAGGACUUAGUGACGCAGCUAACGCAAUAAGUAG
RNAcentral lists this ribosomal RNA (943 nucleotides) under uncultured Gammaproteobacteria bacterium. RNAcentral's name for it is "bacterial SSU rRNA". It matches the Rfam family "Bacterial small subunit ribosomal RNA", at positions 1 to 867 of the family's 1533-position model. Lineage: Bacteria; Pseudomonadati; Pseudomonadota; Gammaproteobacteria. The record is from RNAcentral.